AACAAAAAAGAAAGAAAAAGAAAAAAAACAUAAAAAAAGAAAAUAUAUUUACUAUUCAUUAAGUGGAAGUUGCAGUGAGCCGAGAUUGUGCCAUUGAACUCUACCCUGGGCAAAAACAGCGAGACUCUCUCUCUCUCAAAAAAAAAAAAAAAAGAAUAAAGAGUCAUAAAGAAUGAAGGAGGCAUGAUGCUACCAAAAAAAAAAAAAAAAAAAAAAAAUGAAGCUGCUGUUACUGAC
This 237-nucleotide long non-coding RNA is filed under the name Homo sapiens (human). RNAcentral's name for it is "non-protein coding lnc-VWC2-3:1". The record is from RNAcentral. Lineage: Eukaryota; Metazoa; Chordata; Mammalia; Primates; Hominidae.